GACGAACGCUGGCGGCGUGCUUAACACAUGCAAGUCGAACGGAAAGGCCCUGCUUUUGUGGGGUGCUCGAGUGGCGAACGGGUGAGUAAAACGUGAGUAACCUGCCCUUGACUUUGGGGUAACUUCAGGGAAAUGGGGCUAAUACCGGAUAGGAGAUACUGCUGCAUGGUGGGGGUUGGAAAGUUUCGGCGGUUGGGGAUGGUCUCGCGGCUUAUCAGCUUGUUGGUGGGGUAGUGGCUUACCAAGGCUUUGACGGGUAGCCGGCCUGAGAGGGUGACCGGCCACAUUGGGACUGAGGUACGGCCCAGACUCCUACGGGAGGCAGCAGUGGGGAAUAUUGCACAAUGGGCGGAAGCCUGAUGCAGCAACGCCGCGUGCGGGAUGACGGCCUUCGGGUUGUAAACCGCUUUCGCCUGUGACGAAGCGUGAGUGACGGUAAUGGGUAAAGAAGCACCGGCUAACUACGUG
This 468-nucleotide ribosomal RNA is filed under the name uncultured bacterium. RNAcentral describes it as "partial 16S ribosomal RNA". It matches the Rfam family "Bacterial small subunit ribosomal RNA", at positions 28 to 507 of the family's 1533-position model. The record is from RNAcentral.